RNAcentral lists this ribosomal RNA (495 nucleotides) under uncultured bacterium. Its description in RNAcentral is "partial 16S ribosomal RNA". It matches the Rfam family "Bacterial small subunit ribosomal RNA", at positions 28 to 507 of the family's 1533-position model. The record is from RNAcentral.
GACGAACGCUGGCGGCGUGCCUAAUACAUGCAAGUAGAACGCUGAAGGAGGAGCUUGCUUCUCUGGAUGAGUUGCGAACGGGUGAGUAACGCGUAGGUAACCUGCCUGGUAGCGGGGGAUAACUAUUGGAAACGAUAGCUAAUACCGCAUAAGAGUAGAUGUUGCAUGACAUUUGCUUAAAAGGUGCAAUUGCAUCACUACCAGAUGGACCUGCGUUGUAUUAGCUAGUUGGUGGGGUAACGGCUCACCAAGGCGACGAUACAUAGCCGACCUGAGAGGGUGAUCGGCCACACUGGGACUGAGACACGGCCCAGACUCCUACGGGAGGCAGCAGUAGGGAAUCUUCGGCAAUGGACGGAAGUCUGACCGAGCAACGCCGCGUGAGUGAAGAAGGUUUUCGGAUCGGAAAGCUCUGUUGUAAGAGAAGAACGAGUGUGAGAGUGGAAAGUUUACACUGUGACGGUAUCUUACCAGAAAGGGACGGCUAACUACGUG